This is a long non-coding RNA of Xyrauchen texanus (razorback sucker), 1623 nucleotides long. RefSeq lists it as uncharacterized. The record is from RefSeq and is a predicted model, not a curated record. The transcript has 3 exons. NCBI's taxonomy places the organism in Eukaryota, Metazoa, Chordata, Actinopteri, Cypriniformes, Catostomidae.
CUGCCGACACUCACAAAGCUAAACACUCAAAAUAUAACCUUAAAAGACUAAAGACGUUUUUAUUUUGAAGGUAAAAAAAGAAAGAAAAGAAAAUAGGAAUACGUAAGGGGGCAAAAAUUUCGUGUAAAUAGUAUAUUUGCAUUUCGAUGGCGUUGUUAUGGACACUCGGCAUCAGUUGGAGUUGGAGACAGCUCGUUGAAAGAGCUUUCAAGCCAAUUAAAUUGUGCUGCCGACUGAUCACCAGGCCUAUACGGAAUCAGCGUGGGAUCAACAAAUGCACAGUGCUCUGCAGCUUCAUCGGGAGUUUGCUGUCAUUGAUGAGGAUGCACCUUUGAGGGACAUGCAAAUAUUUCGCAUGUAAUGUGUGGCAAGAUGCAACCAGAUACCUUGAUUGUUAAAGACUGGAUGCUUCAAACUUUUUCAUGGUGGAGAAGAGAGAUUGAAGAUGGAAUGACUGGUGGAUAAAAACUCUCCAGUGUUAGUAACAUUACAGAUAAUUUAGUCAAUUAUCAGAUUACAAUACAUGUUUGAUUUCAGUGUUGCACGUGGAACACUAGGUUAGACCUACAUUGUAAAGGCCAGGGGAACAUACAAAUGAGAGGGGCACAGAAGUCACUUUGGCAUUUUAAUAUUUUUAUAUUAUAUACAUUGCAGCAAGUGAGAAGAUGCUUGCAAUAGAUCUUCCAGGUAUUUACUGUGGCAUUUCUGCAGAUUAUAUGAGUUGUAAAUAUUGUCAAACAAAUGUUUUUGUUUUGUCAGAAUGAUGAACUUUUGACAUAGCAAAUUAAGUAAAGCUUAAGUAAACCAUGCUUGUUGCAUUAAUUUGUUUUAAUACUGUUCUACGUUAUAUUUUCCUCUUACAAUGUGAUGCCGGUACACCAUAUGAAAAUUGCUUUUACCAGAAUGGUUCAAGUCCUGAUCAAUUGGAUGGUGUGCAGGGGAAUAAGAAUCAAAGAGGGGGUAAUUGCAGCCUUCAGUGCAUUCCUUCUUUUUUAACAUGACUAUUUUCACCCUACAUGAAAAAUAUGCUCACUUCCUGCAAUGUUCUAUUGCAAAGAUAUGAGUCAAGACUCAUUCAAAGACGUCCUGUGUUCCAGAAGAGACUAUUACAAAUUUAAAUUGUCAUUUUAAACUCACCCUCAUGAUGUUUCAAACCUGUAUGACUUUCUUUUCUUAUGUGGGGACAAAAAAGGAUAUAUUUUAAAUGAAUAUCACAGCCCACACUUUCAAUGCGUUCAGUGGAUAGAGGCUCAAUUUAAAGCUUCGAGGACCCAAAAGAUGUCAUAAAGGUAGUGCAUGUGAUUGUGCAUCUAAUUUCCAGUCAUCAGAAGGCAUGCAAUAAUACAUUUUUUGUGAGAAACAACCUGAAAUGAUAGAAGCUCCACGUGUUUGUUUUGUUGUUUUUUAAGCUUUAAAGUGAGGUACUGUUAACAGCCAUUGUGUUGAAAAGAUAGCCUGUGAUGUUCAUUAAAACCUGUCCUUUUAUGUGCUCCUAAAAUUUAUUUUGGGGUGAGUAUUAAAGGGUACUUAAGUUAAUAUGAAACAUGUAGUAAUAUUUUUUAAAGCAAAAUGGCCACAAAAAAAAAAAAAGUACCCUACUGUAUUUGAUGACAAAUUGUGAUU